RNAcentral lists this unclassified non-coding RNA (484 nucleotides) under Hevea brasiliensis (rubber tree). The record is from RNAcentral. Lineage: Eukaryota; Viridiplantae; Streptophyta; Magnoliopsida; Malpighiales; Euphorbiaceae.
AAGCAGAGAAUGGAGUUCACUAAGGAACUGGAGUUCGAGAGGAUGAACAUUUUCAUGGAUGCUCAAAUGGAGCUCGAAAAGAAGUCUUUAAAGCGUUUGAAUCCUCUUCUGGUUCAGAUGAAAGCCCUCUGGAUCACUAGCUGAAGACCGGGAGUUUUCUGUCCUAUCAUCCAAAGUCGGUUACAUCAUCAACAGAUUCAGAUUUGAAGCUUUUGUAGAUGAUCAGCAAGGAGUGUAGCUAUUGUUGUAACAUUAUUCAGUGUCAAUGAUCAAGUUCUUCUGCUUCAGAUUCUGUAUUCAUUGAUGUUAUAAACUGUAAUCUAUGUCACCACCUUACCUUCUUAGGCAUCUUAGUGUUCUGUAAGUGAUGAAUAUAUGAUAAGGUUGUGUCUCAAUAAGUAUCAAUGUUGGAUGAACCAGUCUCCUCUUUGAUUGAUGUUCAUGGGACACCCUUGAAUAUGAAAAGGAAUUAAAUUGAUACUUU